Hemicordylus capensis (graceful crag lizard) is the source of this 1278-nucleotide long non-coding RNA. RefSeq lists it as uncharacterized. NCBI's taxonomy places the organism in Eukaryota, Metazoa, Chordata, Lepidosauria, Squamata, Cordylidae. The record is from RefSeq and is a predicted model, not a curated record. The transcript is spliced from 2 exons.
UCACUCUUCUGGGCUCCUGGUAGUAUACAAGUCAUGCAUGAAAAUAACACACUCAAGUCCGGGGUAAAGAACAAUAGGGGAAUGCUGUGAAAUGACAAGGUCAAAUGGUGCCCAACUUCCAAGGCCUCUUGUGGCUGGAAAGUAAUCAAUAUAGCCAUGGAAAGUACAAAAUGAAAGGCAAGGGGAGAAGCAGAAAGCAAAAAGCCAAGAGGGAAAGAGUCAAACUGAAACGGAGGUACUGUAGGCAAUGGAGGGUGGUGUCUUUACAUAACAGAGGCAUUACAAGUCCUGCCCAUCUUGCUGAGCCCCUCUUCCUAGUGGAGCUUAGUGGGCCAUGAGGCAGGGCUUGGCAGUGAGAAAGCAGAGCCGAGCAGGGCCUGUUAGUGGAAAGAGGUGGAGCCAGGUGGAUGACGAGGCCAUGCCGUUGUGAGGGCUGGGCUGGGCACAAGGCAGAGCCCACGCUGUUCCUCUAAAGUGUAUAGCUGUUACUCGCCACCAAGCAACGCCAUCGACACAGGACAUCAGACCCCUACAGAUCAGCAUGUUCCAGACUAUAUAACUGUGCCAGAAUCAGAAAAGCAGAAUAUAAGUGUUUUGUUGUAUGCUGCCCAGAGAACAAUUUAUUAUGGGGUGACUAACAAAUAAAGCUGAUGAUGAUGAUGAUGAUGAUGAUGACCCCCCCCACCACAGACUACAGGUCAAGUCAUACAUGUAUAUGUUUCAUGAUCCACAAAUUGAUCACACAGAAGGCUUUCUAGAAAACCUGUCCCCAUUUAAAGGCCUGAGAGAUGCCAACACACCCAGCCAACUAUACACAACACACAUCCUUCUUUCUUUCUCUCUGAACAUCAAAUGUAGACGAUAAACAAUGGGGAAUGCUGCGGUCCUCAUGCCGUGCUUGGAAGCUUCCAGAGGCAUUUGGCUCGUGGCCACUGAUGGAAACCGAAUGCUGGACUAGAUUGAGAGAAGUUAUUUACUUUUUGUUGCCAGCUACAAAUGUGGCUCUUUAGACUGGUCUUUGGUGUUGGCUGGUUGCUGAUUUGUGAUUCUCCUUGCUUUCUCUGUUACUGUGAGGAACUGUGUCUCUUUUUAAUUGAUUGUCUUUUAUAGGCUGUUCUAUUGCUGGCAUUUUUAUUGCUGCUUGUUUUUGUAGGGGUUUUGGAAGGGGCUCUUUUUCAUACUGUUUAGAUGGUCUGAUUGUUUUUACUUUUUAUUGUUAGCCAGUUUGGAUUGCUUGCUAGAUGGGCACAGAUUCUGUAAAUAAACAAACAAAUGGAA